UUCCUGGUGGUCUAGUGGCUGAGGAUCUCAUGCGCUCACCGCCGAGGCCCGGGUUUGAUUCCCAGGCAGGGAA
Pangasianodon gigas (Mekong giant catfish) is the source of this 73-nucleotide non-coding RNA. NCBI's taxonomy places the organism in Eukaryota, Metazoa, Chordata, Actinopteri, Siluriformes, Pangasiidae. The record is from the annotation of a GenBank genome assembly.